This 761-nucleotide ribosomal RNA is filed under the name Salmonella enterica. Its description in RNAcentral is "partial 23S ribosomal RNA". It matches the Rfam family "Bacterial large subunit ribosomal RNA", at positions 2043 to 2803 of the family's 2925-position model. The record is from RNAcentral. Lineage: Bacteria; Pseudomonadati; Pseudomonadota; Gammaproteobacteria; Enterobacterales; Enterobacteriaceae.
UGAACUCGCUGUGAAGAUGCAGUGUACCCGCGGCAAGACGGAAAGACCCCGUGAACCUUUACUAUAGCUUGACACUGAACAUUGAGCCUUGAUGUGUAGGAUAGGUGGGAGGCUUUGAAGCGUGGACGCCAGUCUGCGUGGAGCCGACCUUGAAAUACCACCCUUUAAUGUUUGAUGUUCUAACGUGGACCCGUGAUCCGGGUUGCGGACAGUGUCUGGUGGGUAGUUUGACUGGGGCGGUCUCCUCCUAAAGAGUAACGGAGGAGCACGAAGGUUGGCUAAUCCUGGUCGGACAUCAGGAGGUUAGUGCAAUGGCAUAAGCCAGCUUGACUGCGAGCGUGACGGCGCGAGCAGGUGCGAAAGCAGGUCAUAGUGAUCCGGUGGUUCUGAAUGGAAGGGCCAUCGCUCAACGGAUAAAAGGUACUCCGGGGAUAACAGGCUGAUACCGCCCAAGAGUUCAUAUCGACGGCGGUGUUUGGCACCUCGAUGUCGGCUCAUCACAUCCUGGGGCUGAAGUAGGUCCCAAGGGUAUGGCUGUUCGCCAUUUAAAGUGGUACGCGAGCUGGGUUUAGAACGUCGUGAGACAGUUCGGUCCCUAUCUGCCGUGGGCGCUGGAGAACUGAGGGGGGCUGCUCCUAGUACGAGAGGACCGGAGUGGACGCAUCACUGGUGUUCGGGUUGUCAUGCCAAUGGCACUGCCCGGUAGCUAAAUGCGGAAGAGAUAAGUGCUGAAAGCAUCUAAGCACGAAACUUGCCCCGAG